Non-coding RNA from Picea glauca (white spruce), 123 nucleotides. The record is from Rfam. Lineage: Eukaryota; Viridiplantae; Streptophyta; Pinopsida; Pinales; Pinaceae.
AUGUACAUUCCUAUAGCAUAGCGUUAAUGCACUGAAUCCCAUUAGAACUUCGUAGUUAAGUGUGCUCAGGCUAGAGUAGUACUAGGAUGGGUAAUCGCCCAGGAAGUCCUAGUGUUUUACAUG